AUCCUUUGUAGUUCAUUAGCAUGAUGAUUGGGCGUUCAUGCUGUUGUGUGAGAUGUGCCUCCCUCAAACCUUGUUACGACAUCAGCACAUUACCCAUCUGACA
Molecule: small nucleolar RNA, 103 nt
Filed under: Pteropus vampyrus (large flying fox)
Lineage: Eukaryota; Metazoa; Chordata; Mammalia; Chiroptera; Pteropodidae
Description: Small nucleolar RNA U13 (ENSPVAG00000024607.1)
Rfam family: Small nucleolar RNA U13
Source: RNAcentral